CCCUUAGAUGUUCUGGGCCGCACGCGCGCUACAAUGAUGAAUUCAACGAGUUUAUAACCUUGGUUGAAAAGCCUGGGUAAUCUUUUGAACUUUCGUCGUGAUGGGGCUAGACCCUUGCAAUUAUUGGUCUCCAACGAGGAAUUCCUAGUAAACGCAAGUCAUCAGCUUGCAUUGAUUACGUCCCUGCCCUUUGUACACACCGCCCGUCGCACCUACCGAUUGAAUGGUCCGGUGAAAUCUUCGGAUUGAGACUUUGAUUUCUUCACGGAAAACGCUGUUUUAAAAAGUUGAUUAAACCUUACCAUUUAGAGGAAGGAGAAGUCGUAACA
Molecule: ribosomal RNA, 329 nt
Filed under: uncultured eukaryote
Lineage: Eukaryota
Description: partial 18S ribosomal RNA
Rfam family: Eukaryotic small subunit ribosomal RNA
Source: RNAcentral